RNAcentral lists this long non-coding RNA (524 nucleotides) under Brachypodium distachyon (stiff brome). RNAcentral describes it as "long non-coding RNA (BDIS_LNC004367)". Lineage: Eukaryota; Viridiplantae; Streptophyta; Magnoliopsida; Poales; Poaceae. The record is from RNAcentral.
GACGCCGGUGGCGGAGAUGUCGGGGUCAAAACCAUGUGAGAGAGAGUGAGAAAGAGAGAGAACCGAAAGAGAUGGAGAGAGAGAGAGAACUUACCGAGAUUCGGCGGCGGUAGGGUCAAGGGCAGCUGGGCCGGAGGCGGUCAGAUCCGGCGAGCUCGAGGCCGACGGCAACCGGAUCCGGCGUGGGGCGACGGCGGCGGCUGCGCCCCUGGACGGUAGCAGGGCCACCUUUCCGGUGUGGGACGGCUGCGGCCGAGGCGUUGGACGACGGAGGAGAGGAGGUGCUGGACGGCGGAGGAGAGAGGUAGAUGUGGGUCGCAGGGGAGGGGAGGAGGCGCUGGGCGCUAGGGAAGAGGUCAGGGAGGAGGAGAGCAGCUCGGAUUCUUAGAGGGAGGGAGGGUGGCGGCUGGGAUUGGGAGCAGAUCGAGGCAGAGGAGAGGAGAGGAGGAGGAUAUCGUGGGGGAGAAGAGGACUGGAGGAGGAAGAGGGGUCGUGGGGAGAAGAUAGGAUAUGAAGGAAAUAGG